This 378-nucleotide ribosomal RNA is filed under the name uncultured bacterium. RNAcentral's name for it is "bacterial SSU rRNA". It matches the Rfam family "Bacterial small subunit ribosomal RNA", at positions 524 to 898 of the family's 1533-position model. The record is from RNAcentral.
GACGAACCGUGCGAACGUUAUUCGGAAUCACUGGGCUUAAAGGGCGCGUAGGCGGGACGGCGCGUCGGCAGCUGAAAUCCCCCGGCUCAACCGGGGAACAGGCGCCGAUACGGCCGGUCCUGGAGGCGAGGAGGGGGACCCGGAACGUCCGGUGGAGCGGUGAAAUGCGUUGAGAUCGGACGGAACACCGACGGCGAAAGCAGGGUCCUGGACUCGUACUGACGCUGAGGCGCGAAAGCCAGGGGAGCGAACGGGAUUAGAUACCCCGGUAGUCCUGGCCGUAAACGAUGGGCACCGGACGGUGGGCUCGCCGAUGGGCACACCGUCGAAGCGAAAGCAUCAAGUGCCCCGCCUGGGGAGUAUGGUCGCAAGGCUGAA